This is an RNA transcript of Lycium ferocissimum, 2305 nucleotides long. It is a transcript of the gene named protein root UVB sensitive 5, with no coding region annotated. The record is from RefSeq and is a predicted model, not a curated record. NCBI's taxonomy places the organism in Eukaryota, Viridiplantae, Streptophyta, Magnoliopsida, Solanales, Solanaceae. The transcript is spliced from 17 exons.
GACAAAGCAAAACGAAAUCUUUGCUUCAAUGGAGUAAAAAAGGCAGAGGUAGACAGAGACAGAAACAUUUUUUUGCCAAUUUUUCCUCUUAAAGACUCAAACAAUGUCUUUUUCUCUGCAAUUCAACUACCCCAUCUUAAGCUUUUCAUGUUCCCAACAUUAUGAUGGGACUAGAACUCAUCCCUUUAGAUUAUUGUGUACUCCACUAUCUGAUUCUUCUAUCAGCAGAGAUGAAGAAGAAGCUAUUAAAGACUCAUAUGGGUAUGUAUGGGAAAAUGAUAAAGGGCAUAUAGUUUUAGUGGAGAAGUACAGGAAUGGAACUUUGAAAAGGUAUGUUAUAGAUAGUGACUCUGAAAUGAAAAUGUUUCUUGAGGAGCAUGUGCCCACGACUACUGGAUCCCAAGAUCUUGAUAUCUCUGGCAUGGAGUUAUCGUGGCUGCCUAAGGUUAUCAAGGAUUUUGUGUUACCAUCAGGUUUCCCAGAUACAGUUUCAGAUGAUUACUUGGACUACAUGUUGCUUCAGUUCCCAACCAAUGUAACUGGGUGGAUCUGUCACACGCUGGUGACUUCAAGUCUCUUAAAGGCAUUUGGAGUGGGCUCUUUCUCUGGAACUUCCGCAGCUGCUACUGCUGCUGCUUCUGCUGCUGCCAUCAGAUGGGUUUCAAAGGAUGGAAUUGGUGCCCUUGGACGCUUUUUUAUAGGUGGGCGGUUUGGAAAUCUUUUUGAUGAUGAUCCAAAACAAUGGCGCAUGUAUGCAGAUUUCAUUGGCAGUGCAGGAAGUAUAUUUGAUCUCUGUACCCCUCUCUAUCCAUCUUAUUUCCUACCUUUAGCAUCUCUUGGAAAUCUUGCCAAGGCUGUAGCGAGGGGGCUAAAGGACCCUUCAUUCCGGGUUAUACAAAACCACUUUGCUCUGGCUGGAAAUUUGGGAGACGUAGCAGCAAAGGAGGAAGUCUGGGAAGUAGCUGCUGAGCUGCUAGGUCUUUCUCUCGGCAUACUAGCCUUGGAUACACCUGGUAUCUCAAAGUCUUAUCCUACAUUGGCACUAACAUGGUUAAGUGUGCGGAUCCUACAUCUUUGGUUUCGCUAUCAGUCUCUUGCAGUUCUGCAAUUCAACACGAUAAAUCUCAAACGGGCUCGAAUAUUAGUGAACUCCCAUGUUUUACACUGUACAGUUCCAGGAAUCAGUGAAUGCAAUAGGACGGAGAAUAUUUUAUUGUGGCAAAGAUUCUUAAAGCCACGUAUUAUUUUUGAGGUAUCUUUGCAGGAGAUGAUCAAUGGAGGCAAAUACGGAUCCAUGCAGAUCAAGCAACUCCUUAAUCUGUACAAGGAGGAAAAAUAUUUUCUUGUAAUAAAUCAACAGAAGCCAACAGAUUUUCAGGUCUUUGUAUCUUUCAAGGAAGGAGCCACAAGCAUAUCGGUGUUACGAAGUGUAUGGCAAACCUAUUGGCUAUAUCAAAACUGGGGCUGGUCAGAUAAUAUCUUUGAUCGGCUUGAACAGAGCUUAGUCGAAUUGAAGGAUAGAUUUCCUGAUCUAUUACAACAACUAACUGAUGCUGGAUGGGAUACAACUAAUUUAAGUUUAAAGGUCCCAAGAGAAAUGUCGAUCAAGGAGCUUCCUGCCUUGAAUUAGUUUCACAUAUGGCCACUGAAUUUUAUCCACUACAACAGGUUUGAGCUAAAGCUACCAGGUUCUGCCGAACCCUAUCUCUAAGGCUGGCUCGGCCCCCUCGCCUGACUUAUCCACAAUAACUCAUAACACCAGGAAACACCUCUUGGCAGUUGAUCAUGCAACAAAAUCCUUGCACUAAACUUUUUUGCAUGUGAGAUGGGUCUGUUGCCUCAAGUUUACCUUCACUGAGUUUGCAUGGAUGAUCAGUAUAUAAGUAAGAUCUGUGGUUUCAUUUCCGAUUUUAUAUUGUGACUUCUGAGUCACUAUCCUUUUGCUGUUGGAUGACAAGUUUUCAAUGGCCCCGUCUCCUUGGAAGAGAUCGCUGCAUAAUCGGAGCAAAUUGAAUUGUUAUAGUCAUAAAUAUUCUUGAUAAUUUUACCUACAGUUUGUAGAGAGUGCUGCUGACAAACUUCCAUAGUUCUUUCUUGAGAAAAAAAUUCAUGAAAACAGAGGACCUGUAUAGUAAUGCCAUUUGGAUAAUUCUUUAUGAAACAGAAGACAUGUUCAGGAAUACCAUUUUAGGUCUUUCUUUUUGUGCUAGUAAAUUUUAGUCGAUUUAUGUGAAAUAACAACUAAGUUGUAUUCCUUGUUACUUGUAUCAAUAUAUUUGGAGACAACACGAGAAAUUCACAUUCC